CUAUUUGGAAGUAGAAAUACGGAAGGGUAGCUUAGUGGCGGACGGGUGAGUAACACGUAGGCAACCUAUCCUAAGGCGGGGGACAACCCAGGGAAACUUGGGCUAAUACCGCAUAAGACCACGGACUGGGAUGUCAGUGGUAAAAGGAGCGAUUCACCUAAGGAUGGGCCUGCGGCCUAUCAGGUAGUUGGUGAGGUAAAGGCUCACCAAGCCGACGACGGGUAGCCGGUCUGAGAGGACGGACGGCCACACUGGGACUGAGACACGGCCCAGACUCCUACGGGAGGCAGCAGUGGGGAAUAUUGCACAAUGGGGGAAACCCUGAUGCAGCGACGCCGCGUGGAGGAAGAAGGCCUUCGGG
RNAcentral lists this ribosomal RNA (361 nucleotides) under uncultured bacterium. RNAcentral's name for it is "bacterial SSU rRNA". It matches the Rfam family "Bacterial small subunit ribosomal RNA", at positions 63 to 422 of the family's 1533-position model. The record is from RNAcentral.